UUGAACGCUGGCGGCAUGCUUUACACAUGCAAGUCGAACGGCAGCGGGGAGGAGCUUGCUUCUCUGCCGGCGAGUGGCGAACGGGUGAGUAAUACAUCGGAACGUGUCGAGAAGAGGGGGAUAACCACCCGAAAGGGUGGCUAAUACCGCAUAAAUUCUGAGGAAGAAAGCUGGGGACCUAGGAAUAGGCCUAGCGCUUUUUGAGCGGCCGAUGUCGGAUUAGCUAGUUGGUGAGGUAAAGGCUCACCAAGGCGAAGAUCUGUAGCGGGUCUGAGAGGAUGAUCCGCCACACUGGGACUGAGAGACGGCCCAGACUCCUACGGGAGGCAGCAGUGGGGAAUUUUGGACAAUGGGGGCAACCCUGAUCCAGCCAUGCCGCGUGUAUGAAGAAGGCCUUAGGGUUGUAAAGUACUUUUGUUAGGGAAGAAAAGUCAGCUGUGAAUAAUGGCUGAUACUGACGGUACCUAAAGAAUAAGCACCGACUAACUACGUG
RNAcentral lists this ribosomal RNA (493 nucleotides) under uncultured bacterium. RNAcentral describes it as "partial 16S ribosomal RNA". It matches the Rfam family "Bacterial small subunit ribosomal RNA", at positions 30 to 507 of the family's 1533-position model. The record is from RNAcentral.